Molecule: long non-coding RNA, 363 nt
Filed under: Brachypodium distachyon (stiff brome)
Lineage: Eukaryota; Viridiplantae; Streptophyta; Magnoliopsida; Poales; Poaceae
Description: long non-coding RNA (BDIS_LNC005869)
Source: RNAcentral
CCUCUUUCAUCUGAGGCUGCAAGCUACCAACUGAUCCUCUACUUGCACAGGCAGUUACAUGAUUUAAAAAUAUUAGACAACAAGCACACAUGUAUGAUGUAUGCUAAGACUGAAUUCAUUUUUGUUGUGUUAUCUAAAACUCCCAUGUGUCCAAGUGAACUCACGAUCUGCAGGUGGCGCAGAGAAUUGGGAAAACUGAGAAGGGCAAAGGCGAUUAGUCUCUGGAUGGCCAGAUGGGAGAGCAUACUCCAUGUUGCAUCCUGGACUCGGGAGAGGGAGGGCAAGCAGGUUCUCUCAAUCUCCAUCCAAUCAGAUUCGUCAUCUCUCGCUGUGGUGGCCGGCCGCCAUGAGGCGAUUGAUCUC